UGGGGAAUAUUGCGCAAUGGGCGAAAGCCUGACGCAGCGACGCCGCGUGAGGGAUGAAGGUCUUCGGAUCGUAAACCUCUGUCAGCAGGGAAGAACGGUCACUGUGCUAAUCAGCAGUGAAUUGACGGUACCUGCAAAGGAAGCACCGGCUAACUACGUGCC
RNAcentral lists this ribosomal RNA (162 nucleotides) under uncultured bacterium. RNAcentral describes it as "partial 16S ribosomal RNA". It matches the Rfam family "Bacterial small subunit ribosomal RNA", at positions 355 to 509 of the family's 1533-position model. The record is from RNAcentral.